RNAcentral lists this long non-coding RNA (241 nucleotides) under Gossypium raimondii (Peruvian cotton). Its description in RNAcentral is "long non-coding RNA (GRAI_LNC010387)". The record is from RNAcentral. Lineage: Eukaryota; Viridiplantae; Streptophyta; Magnoliopsida; Malvales; Malvaceae.
UUGGAUAUGGUUAGUGGGGAGGAUAUUAUGGGAUGUGGUUGUUAGUGGAGAGUGGAGAUGUUAAUCAAAAUCAAAUUAAUUAUCUUUUUAUUUUAUUUUAUUUUAUAUUUUUUCAAAUUUUUCUCUCUUCCCAAAAGUUUGACAUUAGUUUUCUCUUUUCUCAGCCACAUUCUUCUUUCUCUUCUUUUUCCUGCAACUCUGUCUAUAAUCUGCUGUCGUAUCAUUGUAUUUCAAAAUUUCG